This 372-nucleotide ribosomal RNA is filed under the name uncultured organism. RNAcentral's name for it is "bacterial SSU rRNA". It matches the Rfam family "Bacterial small subunit ribosomal RNA", at positions 526 to 896 of the family's 1533-position model. The record is from RNAcentral.
CGUAGGUGGCAAGCGUUGUCCGGAAUUAUUGGGCGUAAAGCGCACGCAGGCGGUUCCUUAAGUCUGAUGUGAAAGCCCCCGGCUCAACCGGGGAAGGUCAUUGGAAACUGGGGAACUUGAGUGCAGAAGAGAAGAGCGGAAUUCCACGUGUAGCGGUGAAAUGCGUAGAGAUGUGGAGGAACACCAGUGGCGAAGGCGGCUCUUUGGUCUGUAACUGACGCUGAGGCGCGAAAGCGUGGGGAGCAAACAGGAUUAGAUACCCUGGUAGUCCACGCCGUAAACGAUGAGUGCUAAGUGUUAGAGGGUUUCCGCCCUUUAGUGCUGCAGCUAACGCAUUAAGCACUCCGCCUGGGGAGUACGGCCGCAAGGCUG